RNAcentral lists this unclassified non-coding RNA (314 nucleotides) under uncultured fungus. RNAcentral's name for it is "sequence contains ITS2". Lineage: Eukaryota; Fungi. The record is from RNAcentral.
AACGCACCUUGCGCUCUCUGGUAUUCCGGAGAGCACGCCUGUUCGAGUGUCGUGAAAUUCUCAAACUAGGAUUUUCUAAUCUUGGUUUGGUUUUGGGCUUUGCUGUGUCACUACGGCUGGUCUUAAAAGCAUUAGCUGACUCUUGGUGUAAAAUUGGUUUGACUCGGCGUGAUAAUUCUCUGAUCGCUGAGGACAUCCUUUGGGAUGGCCAGACUUGUCCUUGAAUCGCUUUCUAAUCUGGUUAAUGGGUCUUAGGAACCGUUCCACUUUUCAUCUUUGACCUCGAAUCAGGUGGGACUACCCGCUGAACUUAA